GUAUCACAUUCGUCGAACACACUGACCACCUUGGCAAUGGACUAUGCAGUGGAUCGACUAUGACACAAAAAUCUGUAAGUUCUAGGAGGGAACCCUCAUCAUUGGUGAGAGGUCUGAGUAACAUGUGGGCCUACAGGACUGAUCCAGUGGUCGAAAACCAGCCAACAAGCCAGCCAACAAUGGAUGCGGCUGUAGACACCAGAUUGAACUCAGGAGAAGAUGCAGUGAUUGAGCAAAACGCAAUACAGCAUGAUCCAGACAGUGUGUGCCCGUGUUGUGUCAAACUUGACAGCAGUUUUAUUACACUUUAGUGUCAAUAAAUACAUUUCUUAAACUGA
Long non-coding RNA from Oreochromis niloticus (Nile tilapia), 338 nucleotides. RefSeq lists it as uncharacterized. Lineage: Eukaryota; Metazoa; Chordata; Actinopteri; Cichliformes; Cichlidae. The transcript has 2 exons. The record is from RefSeq and is a predicted model, not a curated record.